GACGAACGCUGGCGGCGUGCUUAACACAUGCAAGUCGAACGGAAAGGCCCUGCUUUUGUGGGGUGCUCGAGUGGCGAACGGGUGAGUAACACGUGAGUAACCUGCCCUUGACUUUGGGAUAACUUCAGGAAACUGGGGCUAAUACCGGAUAGGAGCUCCUGCUGCAUGGUGGGGGUUGGAAAGUUUCGGCGGUUGGGGAUGGACUCGCGGCUUAUCAGCUUGUUGGUGGGGUAGUGGCUUACCAAGGCUUUGACGGGUAGCCGGCCUGAGAGGGUGACCGGCCACAUGGGUACUAAGAUACGGCGCAGACUGCUACGGGAGGCAGCAGUGGGGAAUAUUACACAAUGGGCGGAAGCCUGAUGCGGCAACGCCGGGUGCGGGAUGACGGCCUUCGGGUUGUAAACCGCUUUCGCCUGUGACGAAGCGUGAGUGACGGUAAUGGGUAAAGAAGCACCGGCUAACUACGUG
Molecule: ribosomal RNA, 468 nt
Filed under: uncultured bacterium
Lineage: Bacteria
Description: partial 16S ribosomal RNA
Rfam family: Bacterial small subunit ribosomal RNA
Source: RNAcentral